CUGAAAGCUGCUGGUUUUUCAUACUUUGACACAUGUGAGUUCAAUUCUUACCCUUUUCUUUGAGAUUUUUAUGUUUUUGUGACUUUUAUAAUUAGGUCCAAGUGUUUAAUUCAUUAGUUUUUGAUUUUAUGAACAAAAUUAAAAGCUAUCAUUGAUAAGUGUUAGCUGUUUAUGAUGAAAUAAAAUGAAUUUGAAGCUUUGAUUUUGUUGUUUGAUGAUUUUAUCAAGUAAUUUUAAUAGAAAUUGAUUUUAGGACCUAAUUGUGAAAAAGUUGUGAAUUAAGGUUUAGUGUUAAAAUUAUGAUUUUUAAAGAUUGUGUAAUAGUUUAGAAUGAUGGAAUAAAAUGUUAAUUGAGAAAAAUUAGCUUAAUAGAUGGACUAAUUGAGCAAGGACUGAAUUGUAUGACCUUUGAAAUUUAGAGGAAAAAUGGUAAUAAAGAUCUUGAACUAAAACAAUAUUGGACAGCAGAAGUAGACUAACUUUGAAAAAUCACCAUAAAUUGUAGAAAUCGAAUUAGAAGAUGAAUAAAAUAUGAAAUUAAAGCUUAUUGAGUCUAGUUUUUCAUAGAAGAAAUGGUGUAAGCAAUGGAUUUGUAAAUUAUGAGAUAUAAUGAAUUUUGUGAGACAAUGUUAGAAUGAAUUCGGGUUCCCCUGUUUUGACUUUGGAAAAUCACCAAAAAUUGGAUAAAAUUAAUUAGAGUCUCAAAUUUAUAUGCUUAGAAUUCUUAAUGAGUAUAUUUUCAAUAGAAAUCAAUGGGAACAUUAUCCGAGUUUUGUACUGUGAUAUAAUUAAUUUUUAGUGAAGAGAGGUCAGAACUGUUGGAUAGUGAAACAGGGGAAACUUAAAUGAAUAAAAUGUACUAAUUGGCUAAAUAAAAAAUUAUUAAAAUUUUAUGGUGGAAUGAUAUGUGAGUCUAGUUUUAGGGAAAAUUUACGGAUCUUAAUUUUGAGCUCUGUAGCUCGAAAUAAUUGAGUGACUAUGACUCGUGUGAACAGAUUGAUGUGAGCAUUAAUAAGUAAAUUGUGAAAUCGUACUUACAAGAAUGUUAUAUACAUUAAGGAUGUGGAAUGGAGAGGAGGAGGAGGAAAAAUAUAUAUGAAUAUUCAGUUAGCAUGGCUAAUUUGCAUGUUUUAAGCUCAUGGACUAAAUUGAAUAAAAGUAAAACUUUAGGGGGUAAUUUUGUAAAAAUGUCAAAAAUGACUAAAUUGAAGGGAAUAAAUUGUUUUAUUAUCUAAAUUAACAAAUUUAAUGAAAUUAUCAAUUUAAUAUUGGGUGAAAUUUGGGAAAAUGGUAAAUUACCAAUAUGCCCCUAAAUCUUGGUAUUUCUGCAAUUUAUUCAGGUAGGUUCGGAUAUCCUGAAUGAGCAUGUAAAUAUGAAAAUUUAAGUAUUGUAUCGUAUUUUAUAUGAUAUUUUGAAUUGAAUAUAUGAAAAGGAUGUUACAUGGAACAUGAAAAUGAAUACUAAAUAAUAUAAAUUAAUUGAAAUUAUUCUGAAAAUUUCGGUAAUGCCUCGUAUCCUAUCCCGGUCUCAGGUACAAGUAUGGGAUAUUAUAGAAUGUACCCUUAUUGUAUAUGUUUAUGUUAUUAUUAUUAUAAGGUUAAAUAGGUAAAAUAUGUUAAAAGUUAACAUAUAAUAUAUUAAAAAAAAACCAUGCAUUCAUACUUGUUCUUGCCGAAACUUGAGAAAGAAAGAAAGAAAAUUUAGCUUAGGGUAUUCGGCACUUUGGAAGCUUGAUUCAAGGUUAGUUUUUGUUCGGUUUUUUUUUAUAAUUUUUAUGUUUUUGAGAUCGCUGCUUCGAAUACUAUCUGACCCAUGUUUAAAUUUUUUAUUUUGAUGUGUAUUUUGAGUUAUGCCAUUGAUGAAUAUUUGUGUUUUGUGAUGUUUGAUGAUGAAAUGUUAAAAAUAUGUUUUAGAUUAACAUGUUUUGUAUUUGAAUUUUUGAAGAUUUUGAGUAAUUAGGACUAAAUUGCAAAAAUAAUAAAUUGAGGGACUAAAAUGUGAAAUAGAUGAAAUAAAUGGAUUAGUACGAGUAUAUAAAAGAUUCGGCUCAACUAUGUUGUAGUGAGAUUUUGUGUAAUUUGUGUUUUAUGCAAUUAGGACUAAUUUGUAAAAAUAUGAAAUAUCAGGGGUAAAAUGGUAAUUUUCCCAUUCAUGUGUUGUUGGAUUAAAUUGAAUGAAAUUGUAUUUAAAUGAGGUUAAUUUGAAAUUUUAUAGAUCAAGAACAAAAGAAACCGGACUUGGAUCGGGGAAAAACAAAAAUAGUCGAAUAGCCGAUUCGUAACGUCCGUCGAUAUCCGAGGUAAGUUCUUAAGCAAUUAAACAUGGUUUAUUUUGAACAUAAAAUUAUUUACUAUGAUGAUUCAAAUUUUAUAAUGUAUUAAUUGAUAGCCGAAUGAUAUAUGUAAAUGAAUUAAUGUGAUUAAGUUGUAUUUGAAUGAUAUCGAAGCCUCUGAAAAUGUGUAUGUGUUACAUGGAAUAUUAUACGAUUUGAUAUAUGUGAAAUGAUGUGGAAUGAUUUUUGUAUUUGUGAUAUUCGGGCCUUGAGCCGAGCAAGCCUUGUGCUGGUGACUUUGAUCGGGCUUUGUGCCUAGCAGGCUUUGUGCCUAGCAGGCUUAGUGCCAGUGAAUAAAUAUCAAACUUCGAGUCUAGCAGGCCUUGUGCCGGUGUGUGAUUCAGGUUUAUGCCUAGCAGGUUUAUACCAGUGAUUUGUUUUCAAGUUUAAGAUGAUGAGAAUUCAAGUUAUUGUGGAUAUUGAGCAAAUGAAAUUGAGCUAAAUUGCAUUAUAUAUAUUUGGCUAAAAAUGUAAGUACAAGUGAGCUUAUAUUGAACUUGAAUAUUCGGUUAUAUAUGAAGUUAUCUUAUAUGUGCAUAUUCGGCCAUAAGUGAUGUUAUAUUGAAUUUGAACUACAGGUUAUAUGUGAUGUUUUAUUUAACUCAUAAAUUGGCCACAUAUGAAGAUAUAAUGAAUCUUGUGUAUUUGGCCAUAUAUGUAAGUGACUAUGUGAUGAAAGAUUUGAUCUUGUAUAGUCGGCUUAUAUGAAAUAUUUAUCUGGUAUUAUAUAAUUGGUUGUGAACAUUUGGCCAAGGUAAUUUAUUAAGAUGAAGUAUAAUAUUAUGGAUAUAAUUUGGUUAGGUUGAAUGUUUUGAUUAUUCAUUGAGUUGCUUAAUUUGCUUAAGGCUUACUAAGCUAAGUUAGCUUACUCUGUGUGUUUUUGUUACUUUGUUUUAUAGAUUUUGCUUGUAAGUUACGAGCUCGGGGAUCGUGAACGAAGUCAUCCACACUAUCGUCAACUUUUGGUAUUUUUCAAAGUUUAUCUUCAAACUUUUGGCAUGUAU
RNAcentral lists this long non-coding RNA (3337 nucleotides) under Gossypium barbadense (sea-island cotton). RNAcentral's name for it is "long non-coding RNA (GBAR_LNC005931)". The record is from RNAcentral. Lineage: Eukaryota; Viridiplantae; Streptophyta; Magnoliopsida; Malvales; Malvaceae.